AAGCUCGCUCGAGCUCGGCUCGUUUCCACCCCUACUCCCACUCCGUCUCCUCCGAGCACUUCUAGGGCUUUUCUCUUCUCUACAUUUUUCUAGGAUUUCCGAACUCAUCCACAUCAUCUUGACCUCGCACAAGAUCGCCGCAUUGGGAGGAAUUGUUCGUCGACGUGAUCCCUCUUGACCUCACAUGAUCGCCGAUUUGGAAGGGAUCGUUCGUCGACCUUCGUGUUCCCUCUUUAUCACUGCUUUUUUGAGCUGAGAUGCUCAGAACUUUCAGACUAGACCAAGAUUGAAUUUCUGUUGAAAUCCAGUGGAACAAAUGCCAAUUCAAGACUUCAGUUGACGACCGCUGAGAGUGGGACAAUUUGGCUCGAUCAAGUAUCAGUUAUGCCAUUAGACACAUACAUGGAACAUCUGAAUCUUCUCAAGAGAAUGUGAUUGCAAUGGAAAACAAGAUUUAUAUCGAAGUCAUAAGAAAAGAGUAUGGAGGCCGAGUGGGAGGGCUAGGAUUAAUCCCAUUCGAAAGUUGUGUGUGUUAUAACUCGGAAUCAACGGAGGAAGUGCAAAAGUUAAGAGAGGAAGUGCAAGAGAAUAAAAAAAUGGUUUCUCAAUUGCAGUCUCAAUUAGCUGCUGUUAUGAAAUUUAUAAGACAAAAAAUGCCAGAUUAAUUGUAACCUUGGUGGCAGACGUCAGGAUGUGUUCGGGCACCUGCACCUGCUAUACGUCAGCAUCAUCAAAUCCCUCCAGUGAUAUUUGAUUAUUUUUUUUGUAUCAUUUUAUGUUUUUGAGCUACUGUGUCCUUUCUAAAAAAUUAUUUUUGAAUAUUAUAGUUUUUUAUCAUUUUAUUGAUGUUGAGGAUGUUAGGAACAAUUAAUAUUUUGGUUUCAUUCGA
Molecule: long non-coding RNA, 889 nt
Organism: Ananas comosus (pineapple)
Lineage: Eukaryota; Viridiplantae; Streptophyta; Magnoliopsida; Poales; Bromeliaceae
Exons: 4
Source: RefSeq, a predicted model, not a curated record